UACGUAGGGGGCAAGCGUUGUCCGGAAUCAUUGGGCGUAAAGAGCGUGUAGGCGGUUCGGUAAGUCUGCUGUGAAAGUCCAGGGCUCAACCCUGGAAAGCCGGUGGAUACUGUCGGACUAGAGUGCGGAAGAGGCGAGUGGAAUUCCCGGUGUAGCGGUGAAAUGCGCAGAUAUCGGGAGGAACACAAAUUGCGAAGGCAGCUCGCUGGGACGUGACUGACGCUGAGACGCGAAAGCGUGGGGAGCGAACAGG
Molecule: ribosomal RNA, 253 nt
Filed under: uncultured bacterium
Lineage: Bacteria
Description: partial 16S ribosomal RNA
Rfam family: Bacterial small subunit ribosomal RNA
Source: RNAcentral